UACAGAGGUGGCAAGCGUUGUUCGGGAUUACUGGGCGUAAAGGGCGCGUAGGCGGCCUGUUAAGUCCCGUGUGAAAUCCCUCGGCUCAACCGAGGAACUGCACGGGAAACUGGCGGGCUUGAGUUCGGGAGAGGGAAGCGGAAUUCCGGGUGUAGCGGUGAAAUGCGUAGAUAUUCGGAGGAACACCGGUUGCGAAGGCGGCUUCCUGGACCGACACUGACGCUGAGGCGCGAAAGCUAGGGGAGCAAACGGG
This 253-nucleotide ribosomal RNA is filed under the name uncultured bacterium. Its description in RNAcentral is "partial 16S ribosomal RNA". It matches the Rfam family "Bacterial small subunit ribosomal RNA", at positions 524 to 776 of the family's 1533-position model. The record is from RNAcentral.